CGACAGAGUGAGACUCCAUCUCAAAAAAGCAGACUUCGUUGUUCUGUAGCAACGUGCUACAGAAGAAAUGAUUGGGACUGGAACUAGGGCUGUGGCAGAGGAGAUGGACAUGGAGGUAAAAUAUGUCUCAGGAAGAAUUGUCAGGGGUUUUUAGGCUUGGGCAGUUAAUUGGCUGUGAAGCGUAGGGAAGAGGGAGGAAAGGGUGGACUAUUUCUUGUGUUUUUAGCUUUAGAAAGUGGGGAUGAGGCUGGGAUAAAGAAAACAAAAGGAGGUGAGUUUUGAGGAAUGUAGAACAUAAUAAGUUAAAUUUGGGACAAAAUCAUACCCCCACAAUCACCCUUAUUCCUUGUAUUCUUCAAAGCCCCAAAGAAAUGUCAUCUACUCCAGGAAUUCUUAAAUUGAGCAAAAAUAGACUAUGCUCAUCACCAACCUUAUAUACACCACACACCCACAAAAAUGACUUGUUAGGCACUUAUUAAGUGCCAGGCACUCUCUGCUAGAAGCUAGGGCUGAAAAGAUGGAUACUGAGGAAUCCUACCCUUAAGAAGCUCCCAGGCUAGUUCAC
This 565-nucleotide long non-coding RNA is filed under the name Homo sapiens (human). RNAcentral describes it as "HSALNT0015744". Lineage: Eukaryota; Metazoa; Chordata; Mammalia; Primates; Hominidae. The record is from RNAcentral.